UCCGGCUUAUCACCGGCAGUCCCUUUAGAGUGCCCAACUGAAUGAUGGCAACUAAAGGCGAGGGUUGCGCUCGUUGCGGGACUUAACCCAACAUCUCACGACACGAGCUGACGACAGCCAUGCAGCACCUGUGUUCCCGCCAGCCGAACUGAAGGAUCUAAUCUCUCGGAUCCAUACGGGACAUGUCAAGGGUUGGUAAGGUUCUGCGCGUUGCUUCGAAUUAAACCACAUGUUCCACCGCUUGUACGGACCCCCGUCAAUUCUUUUAAGUUUUAACCUUGCGGCCGUACUCCCCAGGCGGUCAACUUCACGCGUUAGCUUCGUUACCAAGGAAUUGCUUCCCCGACAACCAGUUGACAUAGUUUAGGGCGUGGACUA
This 378-nucleotide unclassified non-coding RNA is filed under the name uncultured Pseudomonadota bacterium. Its description in RNAcentral is "uncultured proteobacterium contains 16S-23S intergenic spacer region". Lineage: Bacteria; Pseudomonadati; Pseudomonadota. The record is from RNAcentral.